AUACGUAGGGACAAGCCGUGUCCGGAAUGCCCGGGCGUAAAGGGCCCGUAGGCGGUCCAUUAAGUCUGAUGUGAAAGGUACCGGCCCAACCGGGGAAGUGCAUUGGAAACUGGUAGACUUGAGUCUUGGAGAGGCACGUGGAAUUCACAGGUUAACGGUGAAAGUCGUAGAUAUUAGGAGGAGCACCAGGGGCGAAGGCGGCUUGCUGGACAAAUAAUGACGCGGAGGUGCGAAAGCGUGGGGAGCGAACAGGAUUAGAUACCCUGGUAGUCCACGCCGUAAACGAUGAAUGAUAGGUGUUGGGGAAACUCAGUGCCGCAGUUAACACAAUAAGCAUUCCGCCUGGGGAGUACGACCGCAAGGUUGAAACUUAAAGGAAUUGACGGGG
Molecule: ribosomal RNA, 388 nt
Filed under: uncultured bacterium
Lineage: Bacteria
Description: partial 16S ribosomal RNA
Rfam family: Bacterial small subunit ribosomal RNA
Source: RNAcentral